ACAACAAAAGGCGCAAGCACCGCACGGAGAGCAAGCAAGAAAGCAACCACCGCACUGCCACUACCUAACAAUGGCCCGCGCCUACGUGUUUCUCGUCGUGCUCCUCCUGGCCGCUGUCAUCGUGGCACCGUUCGCGGGAGCGACGCGUGUCGACGUCGUUGAGGGCAGGUCCAUGGCGUCCGCCGACGCGCCGGAGGCCGCCGCACCAUCACCCGGGCCUGACUCCGCCUCGUCACCGGACUCCUCGUCGGAUGCGCCCUCCAGCAGCAGCUCCUCGGACUAGAUAGCUAGCCGCUCGACGCACGAUCUCGCUCUCCAUCUACACGGCGAUCGAGUUCUAGCUUUGUCGGCAUGCAAUGCAAAAUUCCGAUUCUUCGGGAAUAAUCAAGCACCAAAGGAAUGUGCUUGCAUCACUCACUACUAGUACCUUGUUUUUAUAUAUGUUUCCUCUCCUGACGCUCUCCGAUUUUAAUCUUCAUGUAUGCAACAUAUGUGAUGAAUGGAAAAAUCGAUUUGUAUUUGUUAGUCAGUCAGUCUGUAUAACAACGCCGUCGGGUUUCUGAAACCAAGCAAUGUAUAUAAAUGCAACAGGAAUUACAUUCUGUAAUUAAACAACCUGUUAAAAGAGGACUUGAUGGC
Zea mays is the source of this 639-nucleotide RNA transcript. RefSeq lists it as uncharacterized. The record is from RefSeq and is marked validated. The transcript has a single exon. NCBI's taxonomy places the organism in Eukaryota, Viridiplantae, Streptophyta, Magnoliopsida, Poales, Poaceae.